This 623-nucleotide ribosomal RNA is filed under the name uncultured soil bacterium. RNAcentral's name for it is "bacterial SSU rRNA". It matches the Rfam family "Bacterial small subunit ribosomal RNA", at positions 35 to 689 of the family's 1533-position model. The record is from RNAcentral.
GCUGGCGGCGCGCCUAACACAUGCAAGUCGAACGAGAAAGUGGAGCAAUCCAUGAGUACAGUGGCGUACGGGUGAGUAACACGUGGGUAAUCUACCUCUUAGUGGGGAAUAACCCUGGGAAACCGGGGCUAAUACCGCAUAAGCUCGAGAGAGGAAAGCAGCAAUGCGCUGAGAGAGGAGCCCGCGGCCGAUUAGCUAGUUGGCAGGGUAAAAGCCUACCAAGGCAUAGAUCGGUAGCCGGCCUGAGAGGGCACACGGCCACACUGGCACUGAAACACGGGCCAGACUCCUACGGGAGGCAGCAGUGGGGAAUCUUGCACAAUGGGGGAAACCCUGAUGCAGCGACGCCGCGUGAGCGAUGAAGCCCUUCGGGGUGUAAAGCUCUUUCGGCAGGGAAGAUAAUGACGGUACCUGCAGAAGCAGCUGCGGCUAACUACGUGCCAGCAGCCGCGGUAAUACGUAGGCAGCAAGCGUUGUUCGGAGUUACUGGGCGUAAAGGGUGUGUAGGCGGUUGUUUAAGUUUGGUGUGAAAUCUCCCGGCUUAACUGGGAGGGUGCGCCGAAUACUGAAUGACUUCGAGUGCGUGAGAGGAAAGUGGAAUUCCUGGUGUACCGGUGAAAUGC